Molecule: long non-coding RNA, 1394 nt
Filed under: Salmo salar (Atlantic salmon)
Lineage: Eukaryota; Metazoa; Chordata; Actinopteri; Salmoniformes; Salmonidae
Description: lncRNA (ENSSSAG00000091337.1, ENSSSAG00000092164.1)
Source: RNAcentral
UUGAUGUUUAUUGAUGUUUUUUAUUCUUAGCAGUGGGUGCAGGCCAAGGCCGGACUGUCUCCUGAACUCGCCGUUUAAUAGAUCCGGAGAUUGUAGGGAUGAGAGAGUGGGCAGAAACGGUUAAGGUAGGGGUGGUUGGGGCAGGGCUGGUUAAGGUAGGGGAGGUUGGGCCAGGGCUGGUUAAGGUAGAGGUGGUUGGGGCAGGGCUGGUUAAGGUAGGGGAGGUUGAGGCAGGAAUUUUUAAGGUAGGGGUGGUUGGGGCAGGGCUGGUUAAGGUAGGGGUGGUUGGCGCAGGGCUGGUUAAGGUAGGGGUGGUUGGCUCAGGGCUGGUUAAGGUAGGGGAGGUUGGGGCAGGGCUGGUUAAGGUAGGGAUGGUUGGGGCAGGGCUGGUUAAGGUAGGGGAGGUUGGGGCAGGGCUGGUUAAGGUAGGGGAGGUUGGGGCAGGGCUGGUUAAGGUAGGGGAGGUUGGGGCAGUUUGUGAAGGCUGGGUGGAAUGGGUUGUGAUUACCGGUAAUGGGAAUGGGGAAAAUAAGAAAUCAAAGUGUGGUGCAGUAGGUGAUAUUAAUGUGAGGGGACUGGACAUGGAGGCUGAUGGUGUUCCCAGAGGAAGGGUGGGGGAGGCACUGGCAGUUCUUGAACUCACAGGCGUCUGGUGUUCUAGGGCGACUGACCCGGAGACAGAGAGCUGCCGAAGCACCUCCCGGGCCUCCCCUUCCCCCAGGCGAUCCUUCUCCAGCUGAAGGCGCUCCCUCUCCACCUGCAGGCGCUCUGUCUCCACCUUCAAGCGCUCUCUAUCCAGCUGGAGCCGGUUCUUCUCCACAUCCAGGUGUGCCUUCUGUGUUUCAUGUGCUUUUUGUAAUAAAUCAUAAAGAGCUUGGUGGAUGUGUUGGGCGGUCUGUGUAACAUGGAUUUGUUGUGUUUGUGUGUCCAGGAUUUGUUGGAACAGAGUGGCUUGGGGGCCCUGUGGUAUCCAGCCAGACGUGAUGGGUUGGGGUGUAGAGCCAGAGUGGAUGGAGUGAGCUGGUGCAGGACAGUAGGUGAUGUGUUGGGGUGUAGAGCCAGAGUGAGAUGGUGCAGGACAGGAGGUGAUGGGUUGGGGUGUAGAGCCAGAGUGGAUGGAGUGAGAUGGUACAGGACAGGCGGUGAUGGGUUGGGGUGUAGAGCCAGAGUGAGCUGGUGCAGGACAGGAGGUGAUGGGUUGGGGUGUAGAGCCAGAGUGAGCUGGUGCAGGACAGGAGGUGAUGGUUUGGGGUGUAGAGCCAGAGUGGAUGGAUUGAGAUGGUGCAGGACGGGAGGUGAUGGGUUGGGGUGUAAAGCCAGAGUGAGAUGGUGCAGGACGGGAGGUGAUGGGUUGGGGUGGCACUGUUGGUGCUGGCCAAGGUGUAGAUGGCGAG